RNAcentral lists this long non-coding RNA (474 nucleotides) under Chrysemys picta bellii (western painted turtle). RNAcentral's name for it is "lncRNA (ENSCPBG00000023090.1)". The record is from RNAcentral. Lineage: Eukaryota; Metazoa; Chordata; Testudines; Emydidae.
UAAAAUAUUACAAGGGAGAUUUUUCAAAGGAAUAAGUAGGAGGUAGGCACCUAACUGCCAUUUGUGUAUUGGGAAACCUCCCUGUAAAUGUUUACAUAAUACUUUUAUUCCUGAACCUGCCUCAAUAACCUACCAGUGCUACUGUGCUGCUAAGAUGUAGGAAUAAAAUAAUGUCAGUUCAGAAAAGUACAAGAAUAAAGGUAAUGGGAACCAGGACCGGGAACUCGGAGGAUCACUCCACCAGGGAUCAGGAAUGGCAGAUAACCAUCACCAGAUGGAUUGCAGGAUCCAGUGAAGACUGUGCUAUCCGCUCAGAUCUGUUGAUCUCCUGCUUCGACAAUAGAGUCAGAUCCUCCGAUGUUCCAGAGAUCCUGAGACGGACCAUCCGUUGCCGGUGUCCUCCAUCUGCAGCUAGAAGAGAGUCGGUAAUUAUUUUUCAGGCAUUUAUUAGUUUAGCCAAGGGACAGUUUAAGG